UACGGAGGGGGCAAGCGUUGUUCGGAAUUACUGGGCGUAAAGGGCGCGCAGGCGGCUGCUCAAGUCAGGCGUGAAAGGCCUGGGCUCAACCCGGGAAUUGCGCUUGAGACUGGGCUGGCUUGAGUGCGGGAGAGGAUGGUGGAAUUCCCAGUGUAGAGGUGAAAUUCGUAGAUAUUGGGAAGAACACCAGUGGCGAAGGCGGCGACCUGGGCCAAUACUGACGCUGAGGUGCGAAAGCGUGGGGAGCAAACAGG
This 254-nucleotide ribosomal RNA is filed under the name uncultured bacterium. RNAcentral's name for it is "partial 16S ribosomal RNA". It matches the Rfam family "Bacterial small subunit ribosomal RNA", at positions 524 to 776 of the family's 1533-position model. The record is from RNAcentral.